AGGGGCGUCGUUCAAUGGUAGGACGGAGGUCUCCAAAACCUUUGACAUAGGUUCGAUUCCUAUCGCCCCUGCCA
This 74-nucleotide transfer RNA is filed under the name Candidatus Uhrbacteria bacterium. RNAcentral's name for it is "tRNA-Trp". It matches the Rfam family "tRNA". From Rfam's summary of the family: Transfer RNA (tRNA) molecules are approximately 80 nucleotides in length. Their secondary structure includes four short double-helical elements and three loops (D, anti-codon, and T loops). Further hydrogen bonds mediate the characteristic L-shaped molecular structure. tRNAs have two regions of fundamental functional importance: the anti-codon, which is responsible for specific mRNA codon recognition, and the 3' end, to which the tRNAs corresponding amino acid is attached (by aminoacyl-tRNA synthetases). tRNAs cope with the degeneracy of the genetic code in two manners: having more than one tRNA (with a specific anti-codon) for a particular amino acid; and 'wobble' base-pairing, i.e. permitting non-standard base-pairing at the 3rd anti-codon position. Lineage: Bacteria; Candidatus Uhriibacteriota. The record is from RNAcentral.